CCUACGGGAGGCUGCAGUGGGGAAUAUUGGGCAAUGGGCGCAAGCCUGACCCAGCAACGCCGCGUGAAGGAAGAAGGCUUUCGGGUUGUAAACUUCUUUUCUCAGGGACGAAGAAAGUGACGGUACCUGAGGAAUAAGCCACGGCUAACUACGUGCCAGCAGCCGCGGUAAUACGUAGGUGGCAAGCGUUAUCCGGAUUUACUGGGUGUAAAGGGCGUGUAGGCGGGAAAGCAAGUCAGAUGUGAAAACCAUGGGCUGAACCUGUGGCCUGCAUUUGAAACUGUUUUUCUUGAGUACUGGAGAGGCAGACGGAAUGCCUGGUGUAGCGGUGAAAUGCUUAGAUAUGAGGAGGAACACCAGUGGCGAAGGCGGUCUGCUGGACAGCAACUGACGCUGAGGCGCGAAAGCGUGGGGAGCAAACAGGAUUAGAUACCCUAGUAGUC
This 443-nucleotide ribosomal RNA is filed under the name uncultured bacterium. Its description in RNAcentral is "partial 16S ribosomal RNA". It matches the Rfam family "Bacterial small subunit ribosomal RNA", at positions 338 to 795 of the family's 1533-position model. The record is from RNAcentral.